GACGAACGCUGGCGGCGUGCCUAAUACAUGCAAGUAGAACGCUGAAGGAGGAGCUUGCUUCUCUGGAUGAGUUGCGAACGGGUGAGUAACGCGUAGGUAACCUGCCUGGUAGCGGGGGAUAACUAUUGGAAACGAUAGCUAAUACCGCAUAAUAGUAGAUGUUGCAUGACAUUUGCUUAAAAGGUGCAAUUGCAUCACUACCAGAUGGACCUGCGUUGUAUUAGCUAGUUGGUGGGGUAACGGCUCACCAAGGCGACGAUACAUAGCCGACCUGAGAGGGUGAUCGGCCACACUGGGACUGAGACACGGCCCAGACUCCUACGGGAGGCAGCAGUAGGGAAUCUUCGGCAAUGGACGGAAGUCUGACCGAGCAACGCCGCGUGAGUGAAGAAGGUUGUCGGAUCGUAAAGCUCGGUUGUAAGAGAAGAACGAGUGUGAGAGUGGAAAGUUCACACUGUGACGGUAUCUUACCAGAAAGAGACGGCUAACUACGUG
Molecule: ribosomal RNA, 495 nt
Filed under: uncultured bacterium
Lineage: Bacteria
Description: partial 16S ribosomal RNA
Rfam family: Bacterial small subunit ribosomal RNA
Source: RNAcentral